This is a long non-coding RNA of Sciurus carolinensis (gray squirrel), 1360 nucleotides long. RefSeq lists it as uncharacterized. The transcript is spliced from 3 exons. The record is from RefSeq and is a predicted model, not a curated record. NCBI's taxonomy places the organism in Eukaryota, Metazoa, Chordata, Mammalia, Rodentia, Sciuridae.
UUUAGUGAGGGCAGCGGAACGUAAAGCGUGGUUUCUUCCUCGGCCAGAAGCGUGGCGAUUGCCCCGUCCUUCGGGGGACGGGGGCGACGCUGGGUGCACCCGCCGAGGCGGUGCCCCCGGCUGGGGAGGGAGCAUGCACCUGACUAGGGAGCGGGUGGGCAGCUGCCCAGGCCACCAGCACCGCUGGGGCUGAGUUCUCAGCUCUCUCCCUGACCUGUCCAGGACAACGUGGCCUCGUUCACCCAAAGAUCUAGAAGGGAAAGUGAGUCCAAAGAUCUAGAAGGGAAAAAAACAGGAUGUGGAACCAACCCUGGCGGCCACCACUGAUGAGUGGAUCAAGAAAAUGUGGUGUGUUCACAGCGAGGCAUGCCGCUCAGCCCGAAGCAGAGUGCAGGCCUGUCCUUGAAACCACAUGGCUGGAACUGGAGGACUUUGUGCCCAGUGAAGCCAGCCAGGCACAGAAAGACAGCUUCCAGGAAGAAGUCCAAGUCCCCAAGGCCCCUCCACGAAGCAGAGGAGACCCCAAAGCCUGCAGCCCCAGACUCCUCCACAGAAGCAGAGGAGACCCCAAAGCCUGCAGCCCCGGCCUCAGUGCUGUCAGAGGACAGAAUUGCCGUACGGUUAGCUUAAAGAUCUAACUGCUGGGGCUGGGGCUGGGGCUCAGUGGUAGAGCACUUGCCUGGCGUGUGCAAGGCCCUGGGUUCAAUCCUCAACACUACAUAUAAAUAAAUAAAGUAAAAGACCCAUUGACAACUAAAAAAAUUCAAAACAUAAAAAAAAUUAAAAAGAUCUAAUUGCUUUUCACCCCUGCCCAUUUUGCUGGGGAUGGAACUAGGGCCACACACACCAAGACUUGCUCCUCCCUGGGCUCCAGACUCCGCAAGCUGCAGCGUAAGCUUCUGGAAAGGGGAUUCUGGACGAGCUCUUGGCUGUGGAAUGAGCAGAGGGCAUUGCACUGAUGCUGGGCAGGGGCGAGCAGGACCCCGCGCCGCCCCCGGAGCAGCCACAGGGACAGGGGCUAUUUGGGACCCAGUGAGUUUGAGGGCAGGGAUGGCGGCUGGGGACAUCAGGGAGUUAGAAGUGGUUGCUGAGUCCUCCCAGGUGUCUCUCCCCGUCCCCAUCUGAAAUGUUGGACCCCCUCGCUCUGGCUCCAGACCUCUGGCCACCUCCCUCUACAAGGCCCUCCGGGUGCUUCAGGGUGGGAGCAAGUGGCCCUGCCUAUCGUCUGUGGGACCCACCAGCUGCACCCGUGUGUUGUGGAAUUCAUGACCAGUGAACAGAACUAAAUGAAGCAGAAUGUUUUUAACCAGAACAUACAGAAUUAAUUAAAUAGGACAUUGUUACUAAAUGGAGCUCACAU